Molecule: ribosomal RNA, 239 nt
Filed under: Macrobiotus hufelandi
Lineage: Eukaryota; Metazoa; Tardigrada; Eutardigrada; Parachela; Macrobiotidae
Description: partial 28S ribosomal RNA
Rfam family: Eukaryotic large subunit ribosomal RNA
Source: RNAcentral
AACCCGUCUUGAAACACGGACCAAGGAGUUCAACAUGCGCGCUAGUUGUUGGGACUAAAAGCCCGCUAGCAAAGUGAAAGCAAGACACAGUGCAACGCUGUGUAUUGGCGAGAUCCUGUUUGACGGCCUUAAAACCGCAGCAGGCGCAUCGCCGGCCCGUCAAAAGCUCACGUGGCUUUGGCGGAGCUUGAGCGUGCACGUUGAGACCCGAAAGAUGGUGAACUAUGCCUGGGCAGGAU